This 72-nucleotide transfer RNA is filed under the name Ostreobium quekettii. RNAcentral's name for it is "tRNA-Thr". It matches the Rfam family "tRNA". Rfam says of the family: Transfer RNA (tRNA) molecules are approximately 80 nucleotides in length. RNAcentral also lists the same sequence under 1 other name. Lineage: Eukaryota; Viridiplantae; Chlorophyta; Ulvophyceae; Bryopsidales; Ostreobiaceae. The record is from RNAcentral.
GCCUUUUUAACUCAGUGGUAGAGUAUUUGCAUGGUAAGCAAAAAGUCGCCGGUUCGACUCCGGUGAAAGGCU